AUCGCGAAGAACCUUACCAAGGCUUGACGUAUACGAGAACGGGCCAGAAAUGGUCAACUCUUUGGACACCCGUAAACAGGUGGUGCAUGGUUGUCGUCAGCUCGUGUCGUGAGAUGUUGGGUUAAGUCCCGCAACGAGCGCAACCCUCGUUCUAUGUUGCCAGCACGUAAUGGUGGGAACUCAUGGGAUACUGCCGGGGCCAACUCGGAGGGAGGUGGGGACGACGUCAAAUCAUCAUGCCCCUUAUGUCUUGGGCUUCACGCAUGCUACAAUGGCCAGUACAAAGGGCUGCAAUACCGUAAGGUGGAGCGAAUCCCAAAAAGCUGGUCCCAGUUCGGAUUGAGGUCUGCAACUCGACCUCAUGAAGUCGGAGUCGCUAGUAAUCGCAGAUCAGCAACGCUGCGGUGAAUACGUUCCCGGGCCUUGUACACACC
This 434-nucleotide ribosomal RNA is filed under the name uncultured Plantibacter sp. RNAcentral describes it as "bacterial SSU rRNA". It matches the Rfam family "Bacterial small subunit ribosomal RNA", at positions 958 to 1391 of the family's 1533-position model. The record is from RNAcentral. Lineage: Bacteria; Bacillati; Actinomycetota; Actinomycetes; Micrococcales; Microbacteriaceae.